GCGGAGGCGGCGGGCCGCCCAGACUUAAGAUCCGCUGCCUCAGGGCUCCGCGGGUUCGAAUCCCGCCCCCCGCA
RNAcentral lists this transfer RNA (74 nucleotides) under Thermoprotei archaeon. Its description in RNAcentral is "tRNA-Leu". The record is from RNAcentral. Lineage: Archaea; Thermoproteati; Thermoproteota; Thermoprotei.